This 443-nucleotide ribosomal RNA is filed under the name uncultured Oscillospiraceae bacterium. Its description in RNAcentral is "bacterial SSU rRNA". It matches the Rfam family "Bacterial small subunit ribosomal RNA", at positions 338 to 795 of the family's 1533-position model. The record is from RNAcentral. Lineage: Bacteria; Bacillati; Bacillota; Clostridia; Eubacteriales; Oscillospiraceae.
CCUACGGGCGGCUGCAGUGGGGAAUAUUGGGCAAUGGGCGCAAGCCUGACCCAGCAACGCCGCGUGAAGGAAGAAGGCCCUCGGGUUGUAAACUUCUUUUAUCAGGGACGAAAAAAAUGACGGUACCUGAUGAAUAAGCCACGGCUAACUACGUGCCAGCAGCCGCGGUAAUACGUAGGUGGCAAGCGUUAUCCGGAUUUACUGGGUGUAAAGGGCGUGUAGGCGGGACUGCAAGUCAGAUGUGAAAACUAUGGGCUCAACCCAUAGCCUGCAUUUGAAACUGUGGUUCUUGAGUGAUGGAGAGGCAGGCGGAAUUCCGUGUGUAGCGGUGAAAUGCGUAGAUAUACGGAGGAACACCAGUGGCGAAGGCGGCCUGCUGGACAUUAACUGACGCUGAGGCGCGAAAGCGUGGGGAGCAAACAGGCUUAGAUACCCCGGUAGUC